GAUGAACGCUGGCGGCGUGCCUAAUACAUGCAAGUCGAGCGAACAGACGAGGACCUUGCUCCUCUGACGUUAGCGGCGGACGGGUGAGUAACACGUGUAUAACCUACCUAUAAUACUGGUAUAACUUCGAGAAACCGUAUCUAAUACCGUAUAAUAUAUUGAACCGCAUGGUUCAAUAGUGAAAUACCGUUUUGCUGUCACUUAUCGAUGUAUCCGCGCCGCAUUAGCUAGUUGGUAAGGUAACGGCUUACCAAGGCAACGAUGCGUAGCCGACCUGAGAGGGUGAGCGGCCACACUGGAACUGAGAGCCGGUCCAGACUCGUACGGGAGGCCGCAGUAGGGAAUCUGGCGCAAGGGGCGAAUGUCUGACGGAGCGAGGCCGCGUGAGUGAUGAAGGUCUUCGGAUCGUAAAACUCUGUUAUUAGGGAAGAACAAAUGUGUAAGGACCUAUGCACGUCUUGACGGUACCUAAUCAGAAAGCAACGGCUAACUACGUG
Molecule: ribosomal RNA, 497 nt
Filed under: uncultured bacterium
Lineage: Bacteria
Description: partial 16S ribosomal RNA
Rfam family: Bacterial small subunit ribosomal RNA
Source: RNAcentral